Molecule: long non-coding RNA, 4387 nt
Filed under: Acanthaster planci (crown-of-thorns starfish)
Lineage: Eukaryota; Metazoa; Echinodermata; Asteroidea; Valvatida; Acanthasteridae
Description: uncharacterized LOC110977910
Source: RNAcentral
AGAUAAUGUUUGAGCUGAAUGGCUGGAAUCAGAUCAGACUGGCUGCUACAGCAUCCGGGUAAAAGGUCUGGUCGCAGUCUCUUCUACCGGGGCCGGGUAUUAUUAUUUUCGAAUCAUCCAUUGCGCACAAGGGGUAAACCAAAACAGACACGAAGAAAAGCAGGACACAAACAACACGUACUGGGAAAAGAAGCAGCUGACAGCUGCACGCGAAACUAUAACCGAAUUGCAAUUAGAGGAGAGAGGGCAGCGUUUCAUUUUGAGUGCAAUCAGACGAGAAGUAACACCAGCAUGCCAGAGUUGCGUGAUGUCGAAGAAGGAUUUACACUGGAAUUCCCAGGGAAAAGACAGAGAUCCUACAGCCUACGGGAUGUAGUCGAAUCAGGACCGGAGGUUGACAUUCUGAACGACCGUCAGAAAACCACCUAUAACCCAGUAGUCCUCAAAGUAGGGUACGAAGCAAACAACCCGGUCAUCAUAACGUGGCGCGUUGAUGGUGAAGUCUUAAGAAAGAUGAAGAAUCGGGUCCGUCAGGCAAGCACCUCGCUCAGAUUGAGCAGCAGGUGGCUUAGGGAGCAUCCGGACAGCAGGUACAAAGUUACCAUACGCGAUCAAGAGAUGAACACGAGGCACGGCAUCAAUCCCAUGAGCACCUCCUGCAGAGUCAGCAUUAACAUUUACUAAGAUGUCUCGAUAACAGAAACACACAGAUAGCCUACAAAAACUCAAUCUGAACAUCCUACUGCACAUCGUCACCCGGAGUGUCCGAAAUAUACCCUUCGGGCUCAAUCAAGGACCAGCAUGACCCUGAACACUUGACAUUGUAGAGGUUGUUAAGGAAAGGGGUGCUACCACUUAGUUUUUACCAUCACAACUGAGAUUACAGCAGCCUGAUGUCAUAGUGCUUAAUUGCUUUUCUUUUUCACAGCUUAUUUUGAGUAAACCACGUGAAAAUUAGUAGGUCUGAAUCGGUACAUGUCAGCUUUUUUAAUAAGACCUAUAAUGGAACUGAUUUCUUAUAUAGAAGAGCCAAAAGUUAGUAAUAAAUAAUAAUUAAAAUGACAAGUCAAUUAUUCAAAACCUAAGGUAACCUAUGUGCUAAUGGAAUCAUUGGUUGUGUAUGUGUCAUUCCUAUGGUCGACUACCUACUAAAAUAAAAAGACUAUUACAGUUUCAUUUGAGAAACAGAUCAAAACAUAGUUAUUUUAAUGGGCCUGGCAAUAAGUAGCAACCAAUCUAUCAUCGCGUAUCACAAGGUGGUCAUGUGUAAUCUAUGGGUUAUCUCCUGUUUCCAGGAGAAGAAAAACUUGUCCGUGAUUAAUUUUCAUUCAUAUGGGCUACAAAAUGGGUUGUAAAAUCUCUUGGAAAAAUCCGGUACAAAAUGCGUUUGCCUUGGACGAAGAUGGUUGUUGGUGCUGCACACCAACAUGAAAAUGUGACUUAGGGAAAGUGACGUACUUUUAAAUUAAAAUCAACUUAAAAUGAGACUCAUAACCAGUAACUAAUUCUCAUCGCAGACCUCUUCCAGGAAGACAAAUCUAUUCCUAUCACACACCCCCCAAAAAGGAUGGGAAUCAAAGCAAACAAGAAGUACGGGACCCGCAACCCGGCCCGAUAAGCUUGGACCCGGGAGACACAGUGUCUGGUAGGCAUAGAAUAGAUUUGCCCACUCCCACCAUAGAAUUGUACGUUCUGGUAAACUUCGGGCUCUUUUCAAUUUAACAACACGUGGCUCCCUGAAAGGUAUGCAUGAUAAUGCCUGCCAGCCAAGGGUGGGAGGUCAAAAUGCGACUGAAGCACACCCCCGAUUCAUGGCGCUGUUUGCUCCAUGUGCCAACACUUCCCAUCUUUGGAAAUAAAGUUGAGUAAUUCAUGCAGAUUGGACUCUUGAAAACAUAGAUCCAACGUUAACCUCGCCCAAGUCUCUGUCGAGCAGAGGCCCGAUUGGAAGUAGGGGUGGAAACACGAGUGUAUUUUCGGGGCUGUCUCGCCAUGUCACUCCACCGUAAACCCUACGAUAUCGCUGCCGUGGAUCCUGCACCGUGUCUGGUUUAUGAAGCCAAACUGACAAGGCCUAAGGGAUCAGGACCGACUUUGGACGUCCUGCGAGACCAGUCCAUUCCCCGUGGUACCAGCGUCACCCUGCGCGUCACUUUCCGCGCCACCACGCCAGUCACCAUCAUCUGGCGGGUGGACUUGACCGAGGUGUGGCGGCGAGACGCCCGCGUUCCCCACGGCCAGACACGGCUCACCAUCCGCCAUUUUGACUACCAACACCACCGGAAACGCUUCAGCGUGGAAAUUGUAGACCAGCGGGGCAGGCGCGUGUGGACCGCGGGCACGCUGAAGAUACGGUACUAAGGACUCCGGACAUAUCCCUGAAACUGCCAAUGAAGAACCAAGAAAACUUUGCUCCCUUAUGUUAAACUGUUUCCAAGCCAAGCCUUGGGGAAAAAAAGUUUGGACGGGAAUUUUAGAAAUAAGUGGAACAAGCCUGAAGAAAAAUACACAUGUAGUUCCGGGGGGGAAAAAUUAAAUUAAAUACCGAGACAUUCGUCUUCUUGACCGCUGAUUUUGUGUCUGCACAACCAAUUGCAUUACAUGUAUUUUGAUGAAUUAGUCAACGUAGAAACUUUUCCAUUUGUAGCUAACUCAAUGCUUACAAGAUUUCUGCGUGGCCGUAAGCAAACAGAUAAAUUUACUGUUAAGUUAGUCAACCUAGAAACUUUUCCACAUGUAGCUGCAAAUUAAAUAAACCAUUAUACUAAAUACAAUGAACAGAAUCACCAAAAUCAUCAUUACCAAAAAAACCCGGCAAAAUUUCGAAAACUGAAAUGUCAAGAGGUCAAAUUUUAAAACUACCAAAUCACCAAAACCUGUUGAAAAAGUGUAAGCCAGUCGCCUUGUCGUACAUGCAGACCCAAAUAACUUCAUGUACAUGCAGUUCCAUGUGCAUGCAGUGUACAACGGAGUAAGAAUUUACUAAAUUGGUAUUUUCAUAUCACUCCGCAGGUGUUGUUGACCUUUACUGCAUAUGCAUAUGGAUUUUCCCGAUUGCAUUUUUGGCCCAAUGACUCAACAAAGGGGGUUCCUUUCAUGCAAGGUAUUCCAGAAGUCUAUAUAAGCAGGCCAUGCUCAACAGCCUGUUGACUCUUAUUGGAUUCUCAACGCUCCACAGCAAGCGCAUGACUCGUCCACUCUUGUUGCUUGUAAUUAAAAACUUCCAAAAUGUCCCAUCAAAAUGAGACAUACGAUAUUGAUAUUGUCAACGUGCAUCCUUUGCCGUGCCCCACUUUUGGACCAACGACACGAACAACAUCGGGAUCAGAGCCAACGCUGGAUACCCUAGAGGACCAGUCCGUCACUAGGGAUUCGAGCGUAACCCUUGGCGUCAGUUACCAUGCUGCCUCUCCGGUCACUAUUACCUGGAUGGUGGACGACAUAGAGAUCUCCAGGCAAGACAACUGCAUCCCCCAUGGCCAGACCCAGAUAACCAUCCGCCGCUUCAGCGACGUGCACCACAAAAAACGCUUCAGGGUGCGGAUUGUGGACAGGCGAGGCAGGUCCCAAAGCACCGCUUGCAUUCUCAACAUGCGACACUAGAUCUAACAAAACAAUCAACACUCAUCCCAAGAGAACAUACCAGUUCACGCGUGAGACUUCUUAACACCAACAAAGGCAACUGGGUAUUCAAGCAUCGAUAAAAGACUGGACACAGCAUUCCUUCCAGAACCCAUGCCGUCACAAGUACAACGGAAGACAAACGCAGCUACAAGUCUCGUGUUAUACAUCAAAGACUCUCUUGGUUGAAACUGGAAAUAUUACACUAUUGCUAAGAGGGGUUUAAGAAAAAUCUUCCAUUCAGAAGAUCCCAACUGUACCUUUUUAAAUUGUGAAGACACAAGGCAAGGUGAUUUUUCCAUUACUCCACCAAAGAAAAUUAAUCAGGUCUCUGAUCCUUGUUUUAAACGAAUGCAGCUGGCAGGAAACUGGGGGUGAGAUAUUUCAUUUGGUCCAAUGCCUCCAAGGAAGUGUGCUUCAUAAAGUCACGCCACUACCACGGUUCACAUUCACGUUGACUUAUCUAAAUAACAUCAAGUAAUAAAUAACAUUAAGAGGACUAUCAUACACUGAAAUCUGCACUUGCUGCUCUUACGAUGGAUACGUCUGGCCACCAACUCUGUUCGAGAUGAAAAAUUUGAAAAAAAAUGUCUCCACAGUUUGAAUAGCCCCUGAAAACGUAUUAUAGCUUGGUUUGUUUUUAUAAAAGCCACUUGUAUAAUGCUGUCUGUUUUUACGACUGUUGUUCAUAAAACACUGGUAGGAAGCCAAGGUUGGCCGUUUGCCAAGGUUGAUGCUAAUUAAACAUCUAAGAGUUUCAAACUAA